This 274-nucleotide ribosomal RNA is filed under the name uncultured bacterium. Its description in RNAcentral is "partial 16S ribosomal RNA". It matches the Rfam family "Bacterial small subunit ribosomal RNA", at positions 523 to 796 of the family's 1533-position model. The record is from RNAcentral.
AUACAGAGGGUGCGAGCGUUAAUCGGAAUUACUGGGCGUAAAGCGCGCGUAGGCGGCUUGGUCAGUCGGAUGUGAAAGCCCUGGGCUCAACCUGGGAAUGGCAUUCGAUACUGCCAGGCUAGAGUAUGGGAGAGGGAAGUGGAAUUUCCGGUGUAGCGGUGAAAUGCGUAGAUAUCGGAAGGAACACCAGUGGCGAAGGCGACUUCCUGGCCCAAUACUGACGCUGAGGUGCGAAAGCGUGGGGAGCGAACAGGAUUAGAAACCCUAGUAGUCC